RNAcentral lists this non-coding RNA (27 nucleotides) under Cricetulus griseus (Chinese hamster). The record is from RNAcentral. Lineage: Eukaryota; Metazoa; Chordata; Mammalia; Rodentia; Cricetidae.
UUUGUCUGGACCAUAGCGCAGAAGAGA